RNAcentral lists this ribosomal RNA (576 nucleotides) under Ensifer sp. CH1. RNAcentral describes it as "bacterial SSU rRNA". It matches the Rfam family "Bacterial small subunit ribosomal RNA", at positions 92 to 703 of the family's 1533-position model. The record is from RNAcentral. Lineage: Bacteria; Pseudomonadati; Pseudomonadota; Alphaproteobacteria; Hyphomicrobiales; Rhizobiaceae.
GGAGCGGCAGACGGGUGAGUAACGCGUGGGAAUCUACCCUUUUCUACGGAAUAACGCAUGGAAACGUGUGCUAAUACCGUAUGAGCCCUUCGGGGGAAAGAUUUAUCGGGAAAGGAUGAGCCCGCGUUGGAUUAGCUAGUUGGUGGGGUAAAGGCCUACCAAGGCGACGAUCCAUAGCUGGUCUGAGAGGAUGAUCAGCCACAUUGGGACUGAGACACGGCCCAAACUCCUACGGGAGGCAGCAGUGGGGAAUAUUGGACAAUGGGCGCAAGCCUGAUCCAGCCAUGCCGCGUGAGUGAUGAAGGCCCUAGGGUUGUAAAGCUCUUUCACCGGUGAAGAUAAUGACGGUAACCGGAGAAGAAGCCCCGGCUAACUUCGUGCCAGCAGCCGCGGUAAUACGAAGGGGGCUAGCGUUGUUCGGAAUUACUGGGCGUAAAGCGCACGUAGGCGGACAUUUAAGUCAGGGGUGAAAUCCCAGAGCUCAACUCUGGAACUGCCUUUGAUACUGGGUGUCUAGAGUAUGGAAGAGGUGAGUGGAAUUCCGAGUGUAGAGGUGAAAUUCGUAGAUAUUCGGAG